AGAACGAACGCUGGCGGCAGGCCUAACACAUGCAAGUCGAACGCCCCGCAAGGGGAGUGGCAGACGGGUGAGUAACACGUGGGAACGUGCCCAAAGGUACGGAACAACUCCGGGAAACUGGAGCUAAUACCGUAUGUGCCCGAAAGGGGAAAGAUUCAUCGCCUUUGGAUCGGCCCGCGUCUGAUUAGCUAGUUGGCGGGGUAAUGGCCCACCAAGGCGACGAUCAGUAGCUGGUCUGAGAGGAUGACCAGCCACACUGGGACUGAGACACGGCCCAGACUCCUACGGGAGGCAGCAGUGGGGAAUAUUGGACAAGUGGGCGCAAAGCCUGAUCCGAGCCAGUGCCGCGUGAGUGAUAGAAGGCCGUUAGGGUUGUAAAGCUACUUUCGACCAGGGACGAUAAAGUGAACGGUACCGUGGAUUAAAGAAGCCCCGACUUAAACGUUCGUU
Molecule: ribosomal RNA, 450 nt
Filed under: uncultured soil bacterium
Lineage: Bacteria
Description: bacterial SSU rRNA
Rfam family: Bacterial small subunit ribosomal RNA
Source: RNAcentral